CUGAACAACGAAUCUGAAGUGCAGCGAGGCGGUGUCCACCACCUGCCUCUGCAUGGCAGUGAUUCCCUUGGUCAGGAAUCAGAUGGUCCAGAACGGCCGCAGGGGCCUGACCUUUUGUCCUCGUCCCUGUCUUCAUCCUGGACACUGAGGGAAAUCGGGCGUGUGCCCGAGCGGGGCAGGCCUGCUGUCCUCAUGAUCAGAAGGACCCAGAGAGAGGGGGUCCUGUCACAGCGGAGGGCGAGGGUGAGGAAACAGAGCUCGCUUCCCAAAGCUUCCCUGGUGCUGGCCUUUCCCCGGGCCCCAGGCCCUCCCCAGGACAGCAGGUGGGCCCCGCGGGGGCCUCCUCGGGGCCCUUGGAAGUGUGAUCUUCCAGCCAGCACAGCUCGCAUCAUCCUUCAGGGUGGUGUGAGAGCCCACCGAGUUCACCCAGCAAACGUCUGCUGUGUCGGGCGCUGUUCUAGGCCCAGAAAGACAAGUAAACGACCGGGCGGGACCCCCGCCUUCCUGGAGCUGAGCGGCAGCCCAGGCGCUCAGUAAUUACAGGAUCAUCACAGAGGUGACCCCCCCUGCCCCCCGGCCAAAGGCAGAGAGAGGUGAGCCUAUUUUCUGCGGUCUCUGUGAGGUCCUCUUUGCUCCAGACCAGCCACCCAGACUGAACUCUCUCUGGGCCCCCAUGCGCCCACCUGGGAAGGGCGUCACGUGACCCUGUGCUCAGUGUCCACGAGGUGGGCGCCUCCAGGAGCCCACGCGGUGAUGCGAGGGUCUAGGGAGAGGCCUGUUCGGAAAGCGUGUGCAGAGGGGCCGUGGGGCGGGGUGCUGGGGUACUGGGGUGCUGAGGGAGGGUAGUUGGGCCUGUGCGACCUGGAGGAUUUUAUUUUAGCCGCGAGAAGACAGUGACCGAACUGCACCGGCUGACCGUGGUCUCCGUACCUCUUUAGCAGCGAUGCACGUUUCCAGAACCCACAGUACCCCGUGAGGCCGGGAGGUGAGCCCUGUUCUCUCUGCCCCAAGCCCCAUCCGGCCGUGAAGAUUCGAGAUGAAAGAGGAGGAGCUGAAGGUGCUGUGGUUUUCCUGGUGCGUCUGUGCAGGAGGGCGGAGGCCCGCCGGGCGCUGGUCCCGAAGCCUCAGGUCCACCCUGCGGGACCAGUGGCAUCUGGGCGGCUCUGGAGCACUCCCCGCCGCCCCAACGAACCCCAGGCUGGGGUUGCAGUGCUCUCACUGCUGUGGUUGGACUGGAAACCGGGCCCUGUGGCAGGGAAGGGCUGGGGUACAGGAGACGAGAUGUGCAAGCCGAUGAGUCAGGAACACAGACCGGUGGGGACGUCCUCUGAACCCAGAGUGAGGCCUUAAAGACACUUGCAAGGGGAGCCCAGGUCACCCAGACCAAGUGGGUGAGCAGAGAGCGAAGAACACCCCGUCUGAACUCAAACCGCGACCUAAACGGAGAAACGGAAGCGCAAGGACGCCUCCCUGGGUUGCGGCUGAGAGGACACGAGGACGUGCCAGCGGCUCCCCGCCUGCAGCGGGCACCCCAGUGGGCACCCCGGCAGGCAACCGGCAUCCACACUGCUAGCUGAGAGCACACCAGGGUUCAGGGUCUGGUGCCAAGUGGGUGGGAAAAACCCAAGUGGCAGAGCUGGGCCCCAGAGUCUGCACUUCUGUGCUGCAACUGGAAGCAAAGUGCAAGGAGCGAGGAGGUCCAAGUGGGCGAUGCACUGACUGCUUGCCUGGAAUGCUGGCUCCUCACCUCAGCACAGCGCCCAGGGCCUGUGGGCAAGGAGCUCACCACUGAGCUUCAGCCUCUGCGGCCAGGCGGAGGUCCUGCCGCCUCCCCCGUGGGCCUGCUGCAGAGCCUGGCCGGGUGAGUGGCUGGCAGGGGCUGCACAAUGCUUCUUCCAGGCCUGGAAGCCAUGGCGGGCUUUUAGCCGCAGCUUCUAGAGAAGAGUGUCCAGAAAGGGGCGACUGACCCAGAGGGGCUCUUGGAAAUGAAGUUGACCUGGAAGUUUACAGGAGAACUGUGAACCAGGACCUUUGAAAGAUCAGUAACAAACAAUUCAGGGUUUGUUCUGGGUUCUUGGAGAGUGUUCCCGCCCGGGUCCUUGGACUCUUGUUCUAGAAGUUGAUAGGAGGCCAGACAGAAAUCCAGGCAUAUCUCCACUGCGGGCUCGGCAGCGCAAGGGAGCCAAGACCAGCAGCAGGUGCCCUGGGUGUUCCCUGAGGAGGGUGGGCCGGCCCCUUAAAUGGGGUGAGCGUGGGGCAGACUGGAGGGUGGCUUAGGUGGUCUGCCCCCCCACCCCCGGGGCGCUGUGCGCAGAGACCAUGCACAGGACCCGCCUUUGCUCCGGCGCCUCGGAAGUGCCCUUUUUGCAUCUUGCUGUUCAUAACCUUCUCGGCUGGGCGUGCCUGCAGCUAUUUUUAGUCCCGGCCCUUCAGUAUCUUUGUAUUUUGUUGCUCGAGGAGACGUCUGUCAGGUACAAGCACUGCUGCGGCCGGUCCCAGGGCCCAGACUGUCUUCAGGGCCUGACACAGUUUGCACAGCAGAGCGCGUGGAGGCUUCUUAGGGUGACGUGUGUGUGUGUUGGUUGCUGACCCAUGUCUGACUCUUUGCGACCCCAUGGGGUGCUGCCCGCCAGGCUCCUCCAUCCAUGUGAUCUUCCAGGCAAGAAUACUGGAGUGGGUUGCCGUUUCCUUCUCCAGGGGAUCUUCCCGACCCAGGGAUCAAACUCGGGUCUCCUGCAUUGCAGGCAGACUCUUUACUGUCUGAGCUACCAGGGAAGCCUUCUUAGGGGUCUGGUUAAAUACAUCAUAUGAAUGUAGUUGACUUUCCAAGCUAAGGCCACGUUUCUUUUUCUAAAAAAAAAAAAAAAAGGAAAAAAUUAUGGUAAAACACAUACAGUUUCCCUUUUACCCAUUCUGAAGUAUAAGGCCUGUGGUAUCACGUCCAUUCACACUGUUUUGUAGCCAUCGCACCAUCCAUCCAUAGGACUCCUCAUCUUGCAAAUCUGAAACUCUGCCCCAUUAGACACUAACUCCCGGUUCCUGUCCCCCGUGCCUGGCUUAUCCCACUGAGCACAGUGUCCUCGGGUUCCUCAUGUUGCAGCCUGUGGCAGAACUUCCUCCAUUUUUAAGGCAGAGUCCCCACGCUGAGCAGGGUCCUAGACAUUCAGAUGAGGGUUUCUUAUGGAGCCAGGUUGGCCGGGAGAAUCCUGCGGACUGAGUCCUCCCCUUCCGUCUGCGUCAGUGCCUUCUCAGCUCAUCUCUCUCCCCGUCUGUGUACCAGCCUCUGAACCUUCUCUGCCCUGUGUCCCCAGGUGUGUUCUCCAGGUGGACCCCAACUGCUCAUCACCCCGCACGUUCCCCCACCCGUGCCCAGGCCUCCCAUGGUCCAUCUGACUCCUCUCAUCCUCCUGCACGGCGCUGCGUCUUCCAGGAACUCCUCCUGAGGGCUCCAUCUGUGCGCGACGCACCCACCCAACCCACUUUACUUCUAGCCCAGCCCUCACUGUGCUGCACUGUAGUUAUUUGCUUUUCCAUUCUUUUCGUUAAAAAGAGCUUUGUUUUAAUUUUCUUUUGUUCCCCUGGUGCCUGGUACACAGUCGUCACUCAAUAAUUUGUAGGAUAAACAUAUGCAUGGUUAAGUGAAAAACUGCGAACUCACCUUCCAUAUAAACCAGGAACCAUCAUUAGGAUCAAUGGACUUAAUUAUUGCAUUUUAUGGACUGGGAUAAAGACCUUUUUGGUGGAGAUGUGAUAAAGUUUGGGGCAAAUAGGGAAGGGGCCGGUUCUGUUUAGAUCUGGUUCUGUGCAGAGGCAGUGGAAAAGGUGCCGUGGAAGGCCUCCUGCUCUCUGAGUCUAUAAAUACCUGUAUAGACACAUAGACUCUUAGGCUAUUCAAGGAUCGAUUCAGAAAGUGCUCAGAUCAGAGGGGACGGCUUCACAACUCUCCUGGUGGGCCUUCCUGGGCCCCAUGGUGGUCUCCAUCUCCCGCCCCGGCGAGUAACCAGGUAUCCGGCAGCACGGAUGCACCUGCGCCCCGCACCGUGAGCAGGUCCAUUCAUCCGGCCGCGCUCCGGAAGCUGAGCCUCGGGUGUGGAGGGGUGCGGCCCUCCCUGCGCGCCGGGCUGGGCAGCCGGGGGCGGGGCGCGCGCUCAAGGGCAUCAUUGUGCCCCCAGCACUCGGGGCGGGCCUGGAGCACAGAUGGCCUCAGUAAAUGUUUGCCGAAUGAGCCCAUGAAAGGGCGUUUUGUCGCUGGAUCUUUUCAUUUUUCCCUUGGCUUGCUCCCCGCUCUCCUUGAAAUAACAGCUGCUUUCAUGGGCCGGUCUUUCGUUCUUGGGCCGCUGGACUCGUCUUCAGGGCCGGCAAGAAAACACCAGGAAGGGACACGGCCAGCAGCCACGGUCUGGGCACAGCAGGUCUACGCUCUGGGAGGGGCUCGGGGGCCGAGCCAGGGAAGGGGCUGUGACGUUGUUGCAGACCCCCAGGGCUCUGAGCCGCCGGCCG
Bos taurus (domestic cattle) is the source of this 4500-nucleotide long non-coding RNA. The record is from Ensembl. Lineage: Eukaryota; Metazoa; Chordata; Mammalia; Artiodactyla; Bovidae.